RNAcentral lists this long non-coding RNA (300 nucleotides) under Mytilus galloprovincialis (Mediterranean mussel). Lineage: Eukaryota; Metazoa; Mollusca; Bivalvia; Mytilida; Mytilidae. The record is from RNAcentral.
UAUAUACAUUAGAUAGCUAUAGAUAUAAAUAUCAUAAAAAAAAAGUUAUACUUUUAUAGGUAAUAAAGGUGCUAAAACUAGAACAGACAAAAUAUGUAUAUCUGAAGCAUUAAAACAUAAGAUAAGAGAUCUUAUGCAUAUAACCUAUCAAUAUAGUGACCAAAAGAUCGUAUAUAUAUCUUUGUAAAUUCAAAAAACUAAAUGGGGAAAUAGUUACUGGAAAACGCAUGAUAGUUUAUUGGACAAAGAACUUUAUACCGAAUACAUAAAUAUUUUUUGGAUAAAUUGGAAACAAAGGAA